Molecule: long non-coding RNA, 541 nt
Filed under: Salvia miltiorrhiza (redroot sage)
Lineage: Eukaryota; Viridiplantae; Streptophyta; Magnoliopsida; Lamiales; Lamiaceae
Description: long non-coding RNA (SMIL_LNC007193)
Source: RNAcentral
GCAGCAUCAUAAAAGUUACUGUAAUUCUUAUUUACCACAUCUGCUGAUGAAACCUUAGCCAACAACACAAAGGCUGUGUCACAAAUCAGAACGAUCACACCUUAUAAAUUAUGCAAACUCUAUCCCUUCCCCAUUGAGUAAAAGUAAAAAUUCCUCAAAAUCGAAAAGUUAAAAGUAGAAGCAGUAAGCUUAAGCCCUUUCAUGGAAGUUAAGGGAGCGCGAGAAAGCGGCGGGAUUAGCCCGCAGCAGCAGCGCUCUAUCAUCAAGGGGUAUCCGGGCAGGUGCCUUGGAUUCCCUGAACAUUCCGACGGCGUCGCUAACGUUGUUGAUUCUCCACUCGUCCCUUGAAUGCUUGCCCAGAAGAGAAGGCGGCGAGGCGCAGUAGAAGCUGAAGAGGAAGUCGGUGUGGUCGAGGGCGGUUUUGGUCUUCCGCCGCCCCGAUCCGACGGCGACGUUCCUCAUUGUUCCGCCGCUGGUCCAGUAUCUCUGACACUGCUUGCAGAAGUGACGAGGCUGGUUGACGUUGUAGUUGUUGAAGUAG